Molecule: long non-coding RNA, 272 nt
Filed under: Prunus persica (peach)
Lineage: Eukaryota; Viridiplantae; Streptophyta; Magnoliopsida; Rosales; Rosaceae
Description: long non-coding RNA (PPER_LNC008275)
Source: RNAcentral
UGAGCUCCCAAAAGGCCUCGUUCUAGAUGGAGGCGAGCAUGUACAUAUAAGGCACAUCACCCCAUCUCCGUUGAUCGAUGUGGGAUGUUACACCAGUAACUCUGCUUGAAACCGAUCGGUUGCAGGAUGCGAGCGACCGGUCGCAUGAGACUCAGCCUGAAAACGACCGGUCGUCACUUGGAAAUCCAAAUCUGCUUCAACACGACUGGUUGCUAGAGGACCAGUCGCCUCCCUGCUGUCAAACUCAGGAAAGAAAAUUGAGGAGUUUUUAC